GACGAACGCUGGCGGCGUGCUUAACACAUGCAAGUCGAACGGAAAGACCCUGCUUUUGUGGGGUUCUCGAUUGGCGAACGGGUGAGUAACACGUGUGUAACCUGCCCUUGUCUUUGGGAUAACUUCAGGAAACUGGGGCUAAUACCGGAUAGGAUCUCCUGCUCCAUGGUGGGGGUUGGAAAGUUUCGGCUGUUGGGGAUGGACUCGCGGCUUAUGAGCUUGUUGGUGGGGUAGUGGCUUACCAAGGGUUUGACGGGUAGCCGGCAUGAGAGCGUGACCGGCGACAUGGGGACUGCGAGACGGAGCAGACGGGUACGGGAGGCAGCAGGGGGGAAUAUUGCACAAUGGGCGGACGCCUGAGGCGGAGACGUCGCGUGCGGGAUGACGGCCUUCGGGGUGUAAACCGCUUUCGCCUGAGACGAAGCGUGAGUGACGGUAACGGGUAAAGAAGCACCGGCUAACUACGUG
Molecule: ribosomal RNA, 468 nt
Filed under: uncultured bacterium
Lineage: Bacteria
Description: partial 16S ribosomal RNA
Rfam family: Bacterial small subunit ribosomal RNA
Source: RNAcentral